This is a long non-coding RNA of Spodoptera frugiperda (fall armyworm), 1530 nucleotides long. RefSeq lists it as uncharacterized. The record is from RefSeq and is a predicted model, not a curated record. The transcript is spliced from 3 exons. NCBI's taxonomy places the organism in Eukaryota, Metazoa, Arthropoda, Insecta, Lepidoptera, Noctuidae.
AGUUUUCUUAUACAACUUACAUAUCUAACAAACAUUUAUUUAUCUAAACUUACAUAACUAACAAACAUAGGUACCUUACAUAACUAACUUUCCGGAAAGUCGCACAAUACAAUUACACUUUGAAUCUUAUAAUUAAUCUUACGUUUACAACCAGGUCUUAGGUCUAGUAGGCUGUGGCUCAGAAGAACCAUCGCUAGGAUCUCCGGCUACUGCUAGACUACUAUCUACAUUGUAAUGAUCAUUAACAUCGAUUGCACUUUGACCCUAAAUCCACUCAUCCUCCCCCACGAUUUCAUUUGGCUCGAGCUGUAUACGCUGCAAUUCAUUAUCAGGUGGCACAAACAGUGUGGACUGCACCUCCGUUGGGGGAGGUGAGGUUGGCGUGGUUGGCUGCGAGGUUGGCGUGGUUGGCUGCGAGGUUGGCGUGCUUGGCUGCGAGGUUGGCGUGGUUGGCGCGGCGCGAGUCUCCUGCGCACCAGUGUCGUUCGUUUUGCUUCUAGGUGUUGUCGUACCUGUAUACGGGGUGUCCAGUAAGUCGGCGCCGAAAUAGCACCAGAUGAUCGGGACGGGCUUUCGAACUGUCAUCAGAAAAUGUAAAAAAAAAUCUAAAACGUACAGUUUUUAAAUUACAGUGACUUAUGUGUUAUCCACGAAAAAGUACACCCUGUGCCAGUCUUCGUAUUUCACACUUUCUUUAGGUGGCCUUUCGCACCACACACUUGGCACCGAUAGUUUUUAAAACGACAGUUUUCUGCGUCGUGGUUUUAAAGGCCGCUCACUGUACACCGCCGUCGAAUAUCCUCGGAACUCUGGUCCGAGCUGUGGGUGCUGUCGGAAAGCACGCGUGCGCACCUCACCCUCGCUUUCUGCUAAGCCCGUACCCGUUUGUUCACAUCUUCAAACAGCCGGUCACGUUCCUAACACGGUGCUAGCCCGAGUAUGAAACGAUCUCGCAGUAGCAUAUCCAAUGCCUCACGCGAGGCGCCCAUUCUUCGACGCUCUCGCCAUCAGAUUUUCUCGCUUCGCAAAGCUACUCUCUAUCAGCAAAAGUACAACGUCUCGGCGUGAAAUUAUUGUCUAUUUUUUCAACUAGAUCUUAGAAAGUUAAUUCUUCAAGUACAUCCAAGUGAAGUAAGUUCCGUGAAAGGCGGUGUGUGAUCCGAUUAAUGGUUUAGCAUCAAUGCGCGUUUAACUUUAUAAAUUGUAGCACUUUUAUACAUUAGUCAUUCUUGGGCGCUGUGGUCGGACCUUGUUGGAUUUCCGAUUAUAUUCGACAUUUUCACGAACUUUUUUUAUAAAUCUUAUUGGUAGCUCGUCGCCAGUGAGCUGUCUGCUACUAAAUGUAACCACCGUUCUGCUUGGGUUUGGAUACUAGUCAAUAUAAUACAGACGCAAGUACAUCAAUCGACACAACUACAGGUAUUUAGCACGACACACACAUGGAAACAUACACAUGAAAGGCACAAUGUACAAUGGUGAUUAAACAGUAGCUACUCUACUAUAUUAUGAUAAUGACUAAUAUUUACAUGU